CAACAACGAACUAAAAGCUGAAAUAACUGAGUCACAUUCUUUGACCGCCCCAAACUUCCAAUUAUCACGUCUCUCAUUGUCUUCCAGUUACGGAGACAGUUUCAUAUUCCCCAAAUUUCUUUACCAUCAACAUGACCUGGAGUAUGUUGAUCUCUCACACAUAAAGAUGAAUGGAGAAUUUCCAAAUUGGUUGUUGGAAAACAACACAAAAUUAGAAACUCUUUCUCUCGUCAAUGAUUCUCUUGGAGGACCUUUUCGGUUGCCAAUUCAUUCACACAAGCGGUUAGGAAUGUUGGAUAUAUCCAACAACAACUUCCGAGGCCACAUUCCAGUAGAAAUUGCAGAUGUUUUACCAAGUUUAUACGCUUUCAACAAUUCCAUGAAUGCUUUAGACGGUAGCAUUCCCUCUUCAUUUGGUAAUAUGAAAUUCCUCCAAUUUCUGGACUUAUCCAACAAUCACUUGACUGGUGAAAUCCCCGAGUACUUGGCCGUCGGUUGCGUCAACUUGAAGUCUCUUGCAUUAUCAAAUAACAACCUACAAGGUCACAUGUUCUCUAGAAAUUUUAACUUGACAAACUUGAAAUGGUUACAAUUGGAGGGCAAUCGCUUCGUAGGUGAGAUCCCACAAAGUUUGUCUAAAUGCUCCUCACUAGAAGGAUUGUAUCUUAACAAUAAUAGUCUUUCGGGUAAGAUUCCACGAUGGUUGGGUAAUCUCACAUGGUUACAAUAUAUUAUAAUGCCCAAUAAUCAUCUUGAAGGCCCUAUUCCAGUGGAGUUUUGUCAGCUUGAUUUGCUUCAGAUUUUGGACAUUUCAGACAACAACAUAUCUGGAAGUCUACCAUCUUGUUUCCAUCCUCUCAAUAUUAAACAAGUUCAUCUUUCAAAAAAUAUGUUACAUGGACAGCUAAAAAGAGGUACAUUCUUUAAUUGCUCUUCCCUUGUGACAUUAGAUCUUAGUUAUAAUCGCUUGAAUGGCAGCAUUCCGGAUUGGGUUGAUGGGCUUUCUCGGUUAAGCCACCUUAUCUUAGGUCACAAUAAUCUUGAAGGUGAAGUGCCAGUUCAAUUGUGCGAAUUGAACCAACUACAAUUGUUAGAUCUUUCUAAUAAUAAUCUUCACAGUCCUAUUCCUCCUUGCUUUGAUAACACCACACUUCAUGAAAGUUACAGCAAUAGUUCUAGUCCUGAUGAGCAAUUUGAAAUAUCUUUUUCCAUCGAAGGCCCUCUAGGAGGUGUAGAAAAGAAAAUCCAUGAAAUUUUUGAGUUCACAACAAAGAACAUUGCGUACAUUUACCAAGGAAAAGUGCUUAGCCUCCUAUCAGGACUUGAUCUUUCUUGCAACAAUCUAAUCGGUCAUAUUCCUCCUCAAAUUGGAAAUUUGACAAGGAUUCAAACAUUGAAUCUAUCGCACAACAACUUGACAGGAUCGAUCCCAUCAACAUUUUCAAACUUGAAGCAUGUCGAAAGUUUGGAUCUUUCCAACAACAAAUUGAAUGGAAAAAUCCCUCAUCAACUAGUGGAGUUAAAGACAUUGGAGGUUUUCAGUGUGGCAUACAAUAACUUAUCAGGCGAAAUUCCAGAAUGGAAAGCACAAUUUGCAACCUUCAACGAGAGUAGCUAUGAGGGAAAUACUUUUCUUUGUGGAUUGCCAUUGCCCAUUUGCAGAUCACCAGCAACUACGCCGGAGGCUUCAAUUGGCAAUGAACGAGAUGAUAAUUUAAUUGACAUGAACAGUUUCUUUAUCACAUUUACAACAUCGUACGUAAUUGUGAUAUUCGGAAUUGUUAUUGUUUUAUAUGUAAAUCCUUAUUGGCGACGUAGAUGGUUUUACUUUGUUGAAAUGUGGAUAACUUCAUGUUACUAUUUUGUUGUAAACAAUCUUAUUGCAACAAGAUAUUGUCAUUGAAAUUAAUUAGCAGUUUAAUUACGAUUUUUUAAGUUCUAAUCAAAUUUGCUUAGGAAAUAUUUUUUUAUUAGAAUUGUAGUAGUAUUUAGCUUUAUAUAGCUUCCAACUUCCAACCACUUCACAUUUGUCUCUACACUUAAAAAACUGAGUGAUCAUGUUUUGCAGAUCUGGAUUUGGAGCAGGAUGGAUCCAAACCCAUAUCUGUCCACCAUAACUUAUAGCUUCCCUAUACUGUGCAGCAUACUUAAAUAAGAGAACCAUCUCCAAUGUUAAAAGCAUUCACUCUAUAACAUUCAUUUAGAAACUAUAUUCAGAAUAAUUUUAUAAUUAAACACAAGAAAUGAAACACACAGAUACACUUGAUCGCCUAUUUUACUCUAAAAAAGAACGAUUAUUGUGCUAUCAUCAUCUUCUUCACUAGCAACAUUAACACCAAAUCGAUGGACCCAUACAUUUCAUCAAGAAAGGUAUAUAUCCAAUAAAGUUGAAGCCUAACAAAAAAUUCAAGAAGAUUAAUGCCUCGCCACAACAAGGGGCACAACAACAUCAAAGUAGAGAUUAAGCAGUAUUCUCAAAGCUAAAACUCUCAAAUCCACCCACCAGAAUUUCAUAUCUCCUCAACAAUUUUAAGAACUAAAGAUAAUUAGGAUUUAACAUUAGUUUUUUAUAUAUUAGUUUCAUAAUUUACAAAUCAAUGAAGAUGAAGAUUAUGCUAAUAAAUUCAAAUUAUACCAUACAUUCUCUAGAUGUUACCAAAAAUUUCUAAGUCAAUCCCACAUAUUUCAUAAUUUUAAGACUAGAAAAUUUCACUAGUUAGAAGUUUCAUUACCUUCAAGUGGAAGAUGAAGAACAUUAUACAAGUGAUUCAGAUUAUAUCAUACAUACUCCAAAUGCAACUAGAAAUUAACAAGUUCAUGCGCACAUAUUUCAUAACAGUAAAAAUUUGUUGCUCAACAUGAUGUGUAUUUUUUUUCAAGGCAAUUUGGAAACACAAUUGUUACUACAGAUAUUCUUCUCAACUUGGAGAUAAAUACAAAUAUUAAAAUGCAUAUGAUCGCACAUAUUACUUCGAGUUUAGUAAGAUUUCAUUAAAAGAAGCAAUCAAACCACUUAUCAAUUGUCGCAGUCGUUCUAUAAACUAAAAUAGCAAUAUAAUACAAGAAAAAGAACAUAUAGAUACUUGGCAAGAGUUCAUUAAGAAGUCGCAUCACAUUCGGGUGAGGAGUUUGCUUCUGAUAUCUUGCUAGCUGGGGCUUUUUCUUGUCUUUCUAUGUAUGCCGAGGGAAACCAACCAGCUUGGCCCUUGCAUUCACCUUCCGACCAUCCAAUAGGAGCCACCUUGAGAAGUUAUAACUAAAACGGUGAAUUAAACAAAAGUUGACCGUUCAAAGACCUAAGGGGAAAACUAAUUCUUUUCACGUAGAAGGAGUGAACUAGUUGUGAUCACUGAAAUAACAACAUAACUAUGGAAGCAUAACAAGAUAUAAAUUCACAUGGCUAUAAGGGUAAACUGAGUGGUUUAGAACUGAGCUAGCAACCCUACUAUAUUCUGAUUUGCACUUCAAUGUAAAAGGGAAUAUAUGGUAGGAAGAAAGAAAACCAACCAGCAUUUGUUAACUCAUUGCUUUUCAAUCAAAAUUUUAAGAACAAAAUGCCAUGUGCUUUGAACAUCAAAUAAGUAUAAGCAUUAGUUCUAAAUUCCACAUAUCAUAAGUUGUUAGAAGGAUAAGUUAAUAGCAGAGUAGAAAAAUCUAUGUGUUGGUAUUUAGAGGGGAAAGUACCUGGCGAACCACAACAUAAUCAUCAAUUGAAAGACUUAGCUUUCCAUUUGCUUGAGCAUCAAAUGGAUGUAUAACCUGCAAGAUAAUGGGAUAAAUAGAACUUAAAAAAAGCAUAACAAAAGCAGCAACAGUAGCAGCAACGUUCAUUGUAACCACUAUGAUCAUGGCCAACAAAGAUAUAUUAGAAACAAAAUUCCAUUUUUACUACGACAUUAAUAUGUACUAUACGAUAUCAUGACGAUUGGGUUACUAAGAGCUAUCAAAGUCUAAUAAGUUCUGUAUAACUUUAUGUAGUUAUUUAAAUUAUGGAUCAGAUUUUAAAUUUGAAAUUUUGACUGCUCUCCACAAAACAUGGCCUAUGCACAAGAAAGUCAUAGAUAAUGAGGAUUACAAGUGUCCGACAUCUUUUGAGUGAUGGAUUUAACAUGAGAGCUUAUGGUCAGUCAAUUUCCUCUGCCUAGCAAUAUAAGCUUUCUCGGCCAGAUUUAUCAUCAAAUACAUAGAUUGCCCCCAAGUCACAUCCAUAUAAACAUAGUUUUUCUAGGUAAACCAAGUAAGGAGUAUCAUAAUUAAGACAUAAUCAUAAAAAGGCUCAUCUAACUUAAGAGAAAAUCUCAAAAAGAGGGAUGCUGAGCUAUCAGUCUUGUAUCUAUAAGCAAUAUCAAGACUUUACAUCACCUGCUACAUCGUGAGUGGCUACACAACUUUCAGUGGUUUGUCUUUCUUUGGCAUGCCUAACUCAGCUUUGAUGUUGCUGAGAUAUUGAUAGUAGAGACACUCAGACACAUGAUACUUCUAGCUCAUGCAUUCUAUCUAACUCAUCCAACAACUAUCUCUUUUUUAAUUCAUUAGUGUUUGCUAAACCUCAUGCUUAAAAGUCCUGUUCUCCUAAACAAAGUUUCCUAAGAAUGACUUCCUUAGCACCACAGUUGGACACUUUUAGAGCAAUUUUAUUUGGGGGGAAAGAAUUUUCAAGGUGUUAACCAAUAAAUUUUAAAAAAUAAUUACAAUUUGUCCUACGAUCAUAUGACAAUUUAUCUGGGAUGAAAGGAUACAGAUAGACAUCUUCCACUUUCAAGACUAAUCACUACUUCCGUAGAUGUUGUCCAAUAAUACAAAUACUUGACCAGAUGGUAGUGAUGGUAGAAAAAAAUUUUAUUGCUCCAAAAUUAAAAUAAGAAUGCAAUAUGUUAAGCAAAAUGCUGUUCAACAUCAAAUUAAUUGAUAAGUUUGUAAUUCAGUAAAUUAACAACUUUCAUGGUAAAAUACAACAAAUUUCUUUUGAAAAAAAUAAAUAAAAUAAAUCUUAAAAGACAGCAUUCAAUUUUGUGCACAUCUUAUUUCUUAAGAUUUUUCAGGAGGAGGGCAAUAGAGGGACUUUCACCUAUGCAAGAGAGCAGAAGCCUUACUUUCCCUAUAAAGUAGACGUCAUUCUGAUUAAUAUGCGUUUGCAAAUCAGCUCCGUUUGAAUCAGUAUUCUGAUAGACACACGAGGCAUUUACAUCCAUUUCCAAAGUCACAUGUUGCGAGGAGGACUCAUUUGAUUGCUCCUAUACGAUCAUCUAAUUCAAGUAGCAAGGGUUGGAAGAGAAUAAAAAGUCACAAUUAUUCUUUUGCAUAAGUGAGACAAAAAUGAUAAAUGCAAUAUUAUCAGCAGUAAACAAGAAGAGAACGCUCCAAGAAAUAGAUAGAUGCAGACAAGCAAGUUAAAAUGCAUAGUCCCAAACCUCCGCAUACAACUUCUCUAAAAUAGCAAUAACGUGUUGAUGCUAUGUUUUCUCAGCAUCUACCUGCAAAGGCCCGAGACCAGGAAAACAACAAUAAAACCACUAGCUGAAGGAGAAAGCAAAGAAAGAAAUACGCUUGACAUAAAUCUUGACAAGAAGCACAAUUUAAGACAUAACAAACCCCAAUCAUAUUGUUUAGAACUACCAUUCGUUAUUUCGUUAUUGUAACAUUUCGAACAAGUGUUGACUUAAUUCAACAUUGUUGGAAAGAUAGGCUUUUAGAAGCAGAAGAAAGCCUCUCAAACCAAAGUGCUUGUCCUUGUAUUGAUCAAGGGAUGUAAACAUAUUACAUUUGCAGGAUGAGAUUUAAUCACUCCCCUGAUUUAUUUGGGUUGCAAUAAAACUAAGCGAGCAACUGUUUGACUUUCAAGCAACAGCUAAAUCAGCUAUUAAAAUUCAAAUAAAAUCAUAAUAGAAUAAUAACAGGCCAUCUUGCAUCAAAAAUUAAGUUUAAUUUGUGAAUUUUUUUCUAUAGACAUGUCAGUUUCUGCUAUUGAAAUGUUAAAAGCAUUGAAAAAUUAUUCAAUAAAUUAUGCAAGCAUUAAAAUAGAGGACAAAUUAAAAAGUUUCUAAUUACAAUGUUAAUAUUUCCUAUAUUUUAGCAUUUGCAUAUUUUAAUUUAUUUAAAAGCUACGUCGAUCAACUUUGGGCAUGAAGAUUUUAGCUUCUACGAGACUUGAUUGGAAUAUGCAUAAGAGUGUUAAAAUAUGAUGCAUCCAACGAAAGACAAACCACGUGUAGUCUUUUAAUUAAGCCAAAGUAGCAGCUCAAACAAAUGACACUUGGACCAACAUGCAAUCAUGAAGUGGCCGGAAAAAGGACAAAUGCUACUUUGGCUUAAAUAAAAAAUAACAUGUGACUUGACUUUUGCUGGACAUGCAUCAUGUUAUUACAAGACAACAGAAAUCAGUAUGAUAGUAAUAAAAGUUGACAAUAACAUGAAGAUAAGAGGCAGAAUGUCAACACAUGCAUAGGCACACACAAGAAAGUAUUAACAUAUAUACCAUAGCAAAAACUCUUUGAUAUGUCAUCUGUUGCUGCUGUGAUUCAACUGACAGCAUGGCAGCUGUCGCUUCUCUACCAAGAGCCAUUAUUGUAGAUUUAAGCUCGGUCAAUCUUGCUUCUGCAUUUCGAAGCUUCACAGCACUCUCUGCUGAUAUAUCAGAUUCCCUAAUCUUUGAUCGGUGCCUAAAUACUUCAGCUGCCUGGUGAAAAUAUUCAAUAUAAAUCUAAUAUAAUUCUCAUCUUGCCUUAUACAUGCAUAUGUUACGUCAAAGCUUACCUGGGCUUCAACUUCAUGUCGAAUACAUCAGCAAUGAUGCUUUCAUAGCAUGAAAGUGUCUAAAUUUAACUGAAUGAUCUUGAUUAAUCAAUUAUGAGUUUUAAUCGAGUAAAAACUAAAUACAAUAAUCGUUAACAAAUAUUGAAAUUGGGUAAAUAUGAUCUUGAUAUUGAUGAAUUUGAAAUCACAACCCACACAGGAAAUUCCCCUUCGCGUGGGGAUGGAGAUGUUUACUGCAGCGAUAUUGAAUAUGUCCACUGCUCUUUGGGUUAUGGUGCGACUUGCCCUGAAACAAUGGAAAAGAUUAACAUACCCUCCAAUGAAUGAAAACGGGUGGACUAAUUCGGAUUACCUAAUUGACUCAGGAUCGGCUGGCAAUAAUAACAGUUUAUUAACAAUGCACAGUCCGAGUACUUUUCCAGGAUCAGAUGCGACGUGGUCUAAUGUUGAUAAUAAUAGAUUAUCAAAUGACAAAUCGUUGUUCUUGGGUGGUGAUUUCAGAAAUAAAAUACAUUCUGAGAGAUGCUGGUGUACUAUUGCAAGCCCCCAGAUUUAAGAAUCUUUUGAUGAUAAUUUAUCACCUGCAGCUGUGCCGGAAGAUUCAAGUAGCACUGAAAAAGAUGAUAAUGUAAUUGAUAUGGACAGUUUCCAUAUCACUUUUAAAUCAUCUUAUGUAAUUGUAAUGUUAGGAAGCAUUAGUGAUCUAAAAGUGAACUAUUAUUGGUGUCAUUGGUGGUUUUAUCUUGUUAAAAUAUGGAUGACUUCCUGUUACUAUUUUAUUGUAGACAAUCUUAUUUAAUUAACAUAUGGUUUAAAACCAUUAUGUUUUAUGUAAAUCAAUCUAUUAAUUUUCGUAAUAUUUAACUGAGUUAAAACCAAGUGCACUCAAUAAAUGUCUUUUCCUUCAAAAAACUGCUACGCUUUGAUUUUAGUGCUUAAUAUUUCGUAACUACAGAUUAUCUAAUUGCGAGUUGCUGUCCAUAGCUGCUAAUUUAUAGUGAUUAUCUAAUUGACGGAGGUGACAAUAAUUCUUUUAUUUUCAAUAGCACAACGUGGAAUUCAAUAAUUAAAUUCUCCUGUUUAAUUUGUUUUAAGUUAAAUUAUUAAUUACUUAAACUCUGUUUUAAGUCUUUAAUUUUCUGUGUUUAUGCAGAAUUGGAUUCUUGAGCGUGUUGGACAUGACCAACAAUGAAAUUGACUGUAAACAAACAUUACAACGUGUGGACUCCGGUAGCUACCCCGCAAGUCUACAACUUCACAAAUAAUAAUUGAGUAAGCACCUUUGAUUUUUUAGCCCCGUUGACUCCACCGACUAAAGUUUUGUAAAAUAAAAAAAAAUACAUAGAAUUCCACCAAAUGCAAAACGCGUGGAAUUUAAUUUUCGGCCGUGUAGAUCAAAACAUAAUUUAACGAAAAAGGAAAAAAAUGAUAAGAUUUUUAAAAUGUGUGGAAGAUGAUCCAUAUUUUACUGAAACAACUUGUUAAAUUUUUCAAGGAUUUAAAAUAUUUGGUCAUAAAUUACGUGCAUGUUAAUUUUUCCGCCAUUGACUAUCAUAUUGUAGACUUAAUGGUACCUUUCUUGAUGAAGGGUGCUUAAUCUCUCUUCUCCUCUUAUAAAAAUUAUAUUAAUUGAUUUCUUGUUAUAGUUAAUAGUCUUCAAGAACGGAUAGAUUUAUUGUUUUCAUGACCAAAUUAUGCAUGCCUAACGUUGCAACUAUUAAUAAAAUUAAUAUUUAAUGUUUGUGUUAAAAUAUAUAAGAUUUUAUGCAUUCAUUAAUUGUUAUUAGCUAAAGGAUGAAUUAUUUUUUCCCAAUCAGUUGAUGCAUCUGCAAGAGUUUUUUUUUUUCUUUUAUUGACCAUAAUUAUAUUCCGGGUACAAUAAAUUGUCUUUGGUGCUUGGAAGAUAUGACAUCUCUCUGUCAACUUACUGGAAAUAUCUCCUCAUCUACUCUCAUUUAUCUAAUAUCAAUUGAAGAUCUCAUAUUUCCAAACUAUGACUUCCAAAUCUCAUUAUCAUUUGAGCAUUCAAAACUAAUCAAGUGUGGAAAUAAUCAAAUAUAUGCAAAAAUCGAGUCACAAUCUUUGGCCCCUCAAAAUUCUAAUUAUAUAACUUCAUAUCUCAUACAUUUUCCAAAUUCCUCUUCCAUCAACAUCACUAGGAGUAUGUUCAUCUCUCACACAUUAACUUGAGUGGAGAGUUUCCAAAUUGAUUGUCAGAAAACAAUACAAAAGCUAGACAAACUUGAUCUGUCUACUAAUUAUCUUUCGGUAAAAUUAAUUAAUUUUAGGGUAAUAUUCAGCCAACCUCUGUAAUUUUAGAGUGAUCAUUAAUUAAUUAAACGAUACAAUAUCUAAAGUGAUUAGAUGUUUGCGGACAAUACAAGUUCAUGGCUUGAAAUUUGAUCUCUAUCGAUUGGUUUACAGAUGGACGUACUUGUGCCUUUGUGGUGAUAAUUGAACCAGAGAUGUGAAGCUGAUAGUAAAUUGUUAUAAAGGCAUAAAGACAAGUUCCCAUGAUUAUUAUUUUUUCCAAAAACUAUUUUACAACAAAUUCAUCUCGCCAAAAAUUCUAUUUUGCUAACUAACAAUAAUUGAGCACUUGACCGCAUUGACUCCACGUCUCCAGCUACUUUCUAAGUAAAAACAUGGAAAUGUAAUCUCCACAAAAUGCCAAACGUGUGGAAUUUAAUUUUUGGCCUUGUGGACCAAAAUGCAAAUGAAAGAAAAAGAAGGAAAAAAACAAGGCCCAAAGACUUCUAAAAGAUGUAAAAGUCUUUGGGUUUUUUUAUAAUGGUGGAUUUUUUAAAAGAAAAAAAUAACAACACUUCUAUGGUUUGUUUUGAUAAUCACAUUUACAUAUACUCUCUAAUUUUCAAAAUGGACACAUAAAUCUUUUUUUUCUACAAAUGUAUAUUAUUCGUAUUGUUUAUUAUUUUUAAUAUCAUAUUGUUAUUUAUUAUAAAUGUUUAAAGUAAUUUUUAGGUUGAAAUAUAAUAAAAAGGUAUAAUCGUUCUCUUAUUAAACACCCAUACUUUUAGUUUCUAUCCAUUUGUCAUCUCAAUCUCUCUCAAUUAUUCUUUAUUGCUAGCUCAAAACGCGUUGCUGUUGCAAAUUAUAGCAAAAAGACAAAUAUGGAAAAGAAAAAAGGGUAGAAAAUUAAUGCAUGAAAGACUUGGAGAAAACAACGAAGUAAGUCAACUAUAAUCUAGCUGGGUGUAUAAAUUGUUUGAUGCUUUAUAAGCAAAUAACAUACAGAGACAGACAAUGUGUGUUCGUUUUUUCAUAGUUAAAGAUAUAGUUAGAAUGGGUGGUUCAAAAUCAAAAAUGGUGAUAAUGUUUGUUAUGUUAUUAAUAAUAUUUAAAAGUGGGUGGAGUGAGGGAUGUUGGGAUCACGAGAGAUUUGCUCUUUUGCGACUCAAACAUUUCUUCGAUGAUACUGGUAGUUAUCUUUACGACUGGGUAGAUGAUGAGGGAGCUACUGAUUGUUGUCAAUGGGAAAGGGUUGAGUGCAGCAACACCACAGGCCGAGUGAUAGCGCUAGACCUUUUUGAAAUGUAUUCGGGAGAGUACAGCUGGUAUCUGAAUGCUUCUUUGUUUACUCCCUUCCAACAACUUGAGUCACUUGAUUUAACUGACAACAAUAUAGCUGGUUGUGUUGAGAAUGAAGGUGCUUCGUUUAAUUUAAUUAAUUUACUUUCUCCCCCCUAAUUUAAGUUGAAUAUCAAGACCGAGCAACUAUACGCAUAUUCAUUUAGUCGACAAUUUUGACUUUUUUUUUAAGUGAUUAAUUAAUUUUAAAAUUACACCAAUAUCUAUGAUCUUUUUUUUUUUUUAAUUUUGCUUGCAGGUCUAGAGAGGCUAUCAAGAUUGAACAACUUGAAGAUGCUUAAUUUAUGUGAUAACUCGUUCAACAAUAGCAUUUUAUCAUCACUAACUCAUCUUUCAUCAUUAAGAUCAUUAAAUUUAUACGGGAAUAGAUUGGAAGGAAGUAUUGACGUUAAAGGUACAUAAUUAAAACUUCAUCCCUUAUCCAAGCUCUUUCAUUAACUUGCUAAAAUAAGAUUCAAGGCUUUGAAUUCAAUUUUUUUUUUAUGAUUAGUAUUAAAAAAACAGUUUCAAGCAAUUUAUAAAUACAAGUUUUAAUGUUUCUCAUAAUUUCAUCUUGUACUUUGAUAUGUCUCGAAUUUAAGAUUAAAAAAAAAAAACUCUAAUAGCGAACCAAACACCUCCACAACUUAUUAUUAUUAUUAUUAUUUGUGGUGAGGUUUGAAACAUUCAACUCAAUUUGUACUUAUUACAGAAUUUGAUUCUUUGAGAGAUUUAGAGGAGCUAGACAUUGGUGAGAACAAGAUUGACAAAUUUGUGGUCUCAAAAGGUACUACAAAUACCAUAAAAAAAAUGCUAACUUAUUCAAAUUAGUUGGAUUCUUUGCCAUUUGGUUUAUUAUUUUGCAGGUUUGAGUAAGCUGAAGUCUCUCGAUUUAAGUGGUAUGAAACUCAAUCGUAGCAUCUUAUCUUCUCUUUCUUCGUUAAGAGAAUUAUAUAUAAGUCGUACGGGAUUCAAAGGAACAUUUGAUGUUCGAGGUAAGUCUAAGCCUUGCUUUCUCAUUUUAUAUAUGCCAACUAGAUUUGUGUAUCAUCGCCAUAAUUUAAUAUUUAAUUUGAUAAGUCUGAAGGAAUUACAUGCUAAUUUAAACAUACUUUUAUUUACUUUGUCCAUUAAUUAAUUAAUUACUAUUUGGCUUGGUUUGGAUGAAAUUCUCAUGAUGUUUUAAUUUCUUUAAAUUAAUUAAUUAAUUAACUCUGUUUUUAAGUCUUAAGUCUGGGCAUGUUUGCAGAAUUUGAUUCCUUCAAUAACUUAGAAGUGUUGGACAUGAGUGGCAAUGAAAUCGACAAUCUUGUGGUUCCUCAAGGUAAACAAUUAAAAUAUUAUUCAAUUACAUUAUUUUAAUUCAUUUGAUUAGAGAAGGCCAAAAAGGUCCCAAAAAAAAAUAAUAAUAAAGAAACAGAUAAUUUGUAUUAUUUAAAAAACAUAGUGUAAUAAAGAUUUGAUUCUAGUUAUUUAAUCUUUAAAGCGAUUGAAAAACAAUGUUACUCUUUUCCCAAAGCAUAAAAUACGAAUUGAAUGCCAAUUAACUUAAUCAUUCAUUUCGUUUAGCUCUAAAUUUAGACAAUGAAUUUUUAUAUUAUUUCAAAAACAAGACGUAAUAGAAUUUUUUUAAAAAACAGAUUGUAAUAAAGAUUUGAUUCCAAUUCUUUAACCUUUACAGUGAUUGAAAAACGAUACUGCUUCCCAAAGCAUAAAAUGCAAAUUGACUCCCAAUUAAAUUAAUCAUUUAUUUCAUUUAGGUCUAAAUUUUAGAAAAAUGAAUUUUGAUUCUCUUCAAUCUUUUCUUAAUUAUUAUUAAAAAACAGGUUACAGAGGUUUGAGGAAGCUGAAAAGCCUUGAUCUAUCGGGAGUUGGAAUUAGAGAUGGAAGCAAGUUGUUACAGUCAAUGGGAUCAUUCCCAUCCCUCAACACUCUUUACCUGAGGGAUAAUAAUUUUACCGAUAUAGCGACAACUACUACUCAAGGUAAGUAAAAGGUACAAAUGUGGCCAAAUUUAUAAAUAAACUGUUAAUUAAUUAAUUUUUCCGUAUUAUUAAUUAAGCUAAAUCCGUUGCUCCUUCCUUCUAAAUCUAAACAGAGUUGCACAAUUUCACCAACUUGGAAUAUUUGAAAUUGGACGAAUCCUGUCUCCAUAUAAGCCUUCUGCAAAGCAUUGCAUCAUUAUUCCCUUCGUUAAAAAAUCUGUCGAUGUCUUAUUGUGAAGUCAAUGGUGUCGUACGCGGUCAAGGUAAAAGAAAAGCGUUGAUUGUGAACUCACUCAAUGGUGUCCUACGUGUUCAACAUUUUUAUUUAUUUAUUUAUUGUUUAAUGUUUCUGCUAGGUUUUCCUCAUUUCAAGAGUUUGGAACAUUUUCACAUGCAUUUCACGCGCAUUGCACUCAACACCAACUUUCUUCAAAUCAUCGGAGAAUCAAUGCCUUCUCUUAAGUACUUAUCACUGUCAAAUUCUACUCGUGGCACUAACAGCAGCAGGAUUCUUGAUCAAGGUUAAUCAGAUGCUCCCACCCUCCCUUCUUAAUCUAUAAUAUUAAUUUUCAAUUCAAUAUUUAAUUACACAAACAAUACGCAUUCAUUAAUUUUUAUAUUGUAUUAAUUGAUGAAUUUAAUAAAUUUUCAGGCCUCUGUUCGCUGGUGCAUCUGCAAGAAUUGCGCAUGGCUGAUAAUGAUUUAAGAGGUAGCUUGCCUUGGUGCUUGGCAAAUAUGACAUCCCUCCGAAUAUUAGAUGUUUCUAUCAAUCAACUUACUGGAAGCAUCUUCUCAUCUCCCCUCGUUCAUUUGACAUCCAUUGAAGAGUUGUAUCUUUCAAACAACCACUUCCAGAUCCCAAUUUCACUUGAACCACUUUUCAAUCAUUCAAGACUCAAGAUUUUUUAUGCUGACAACAACGAACUAAAUGCAGAAAUAACUGAGUCACAUUCUUUGACCGCCCCAAACUUCCAAUUAAAUAGACUCUUGUUGUCUUCCAGUUACGGAGACAGUUUCAUAUUCCCCAAAUUUCUUUACCAUCAACAUGACCUGGAGCUUGUUGAUCUCUCACACAUAAAGAUGAAUGGAGAAUUUCCAACUUGGUUGUUGGAAAACAACACAAAAUUAGAAACUCUUUCUCUCGUCAAUGAUUCUCUUGGAGGAACUUUUCGGUUGCCAAUUCAUUCACACAAGCG
This 13522-nucleotide long non-coding RNA is filed under the name Citrus maxima (pomelo). RNAcentral's name for it is "long non-coding RNA (CMAX_LNC001453)". Lineage: Eukaryota; Viridiplantae; Streptophyta; Magnoliopsida; Sapindales; Rutaceae. The record is from RNAcentral.